RNAcentral lists this transfer RNA (75 nucleotides) under Alphaproteobacteria bacterium. RNAcentral's name for it is "tRNA-Asn". It matches the Rfam family "tRNA". Rfam says of the family: Transfer RNA (tRNA) molecules are approximately 80 nucleotides in length. Their secondary structure includes four short double-helical elements and three loops (D, anti-codon, and T loops). Lineage: Bacteria; Pseudomonadati; Pseudomonadota; Alphaproteobacteria. The record is from RNAcentral.
UCCCCAGUAACUCAGUGGUAGAGUAGGUGACUGUUAAUCACUUUGUCGGAGGUUCGAAUCCUUCCUGGGGAGCCA